AACCUAGCACACCUGCGGUGUGUACCUGCGGAAGGAUCAUUACUGCUUGCUCAUGGCCGCCUGGAGUUCUGCUCCGGCGCGGUACGGCAACACUACCCUUGUCUAUACAUACCUUUUGUUAUUUCCCUCGGCGGGGUCACACCCGUCGAUGGGGACACUAUAAACCCUUGUAUCUUAAGCAUCAAACUUCUGAAACAAAACAAAAUAAUCACAACUUUCAACAACGGAUCUCAGAUCGGA
Molecule: unclassified non-coding RNA, 240 nt
Filed under: soil metagenome
Description: partial contains 5.8S ribosomal RNA, internal transcribed spacer 2, and large subunit ribosomal RNA
Source: RNAcentral